UCAAUUGAUGGUUUUUUGUUU
This 21-nucleotide non-coding RNA is filed under the name Caenorhabditis elegans. The record is from RNAcentral. Lineage: Eukaryota; Metazoa; Nematoda; Chromadorea; Rhabditida; Rhabditidae.